CUUUUACUAUGAAGCAGACGUGUCUAACGGUGCUAAAGGACAGCUACGUUCUGGUUCGGCCCACAUGAGGCUCCUACUCUGCAGUUAGCGAGCUUGUGUAACGCAAUCGCCACACUCGCAUUUGAAGAGGUUCAGUGGGACAACUUCAAGCAAGCAUGGGUUUUUGGUAGACAUGGAGGAAGGCCUAUGCUGAGACCAAGAGUUUUACGUCAUGUACUUGGAAAGAAAUCGAACUAUUGACUUAACAGACUGAUGCGUCGUGACGAGGUGGAGCUGCGGUCAGCCGAGACGACGCUGGAGGUUAAAGGGCCGCCGUGGAGAAUCGAGGGAUGUUAUUGGUGAAGCCGUCUCUGUUCUACACAGCACGGUUACCAUGACGCCCUGUGAGAGGAGGAUCCAGCUCAUUUUUGGAGGCAACAAUGAUGUGCACCAGUCUCCAAGAAGAAAUACAUGACUAAGCAAGUCUACAGACCCAC
This is a long non-coding RNA of Corythoichthys intestinalis (scribbled pipefish), 476 nucleotides long. RefSeq lists it as uncharacterized. The record is from RefSeq and is a predicted model, not a curated record. The transcript has 4 exons. Lineage: Eukaryota; Metazoa; Chordata; Actinopteri; Syngnathiformes; Syngnathidae.